RNAcentral lists this ribosomal RNA (274 nucleotides) under uncultured bacterium. RNAcentral's name for it is "partial 16S ribosomal RNA". It matches the Rfam family "Bacterial small subunit ribosomal RNA", at positions 523 to 796 of the family's 1533-position model. The record is from RNAcentral.
AGACGAACCGUCCAAACGUUAUUCGGAAUCACUGGGCUUAAAGGGUGCGUAGGCGGCGCGGCAAGUUGGGUGUGAAAUCCCUCGGCUCAACCGAGGAACUGCGCCCAAAACUUCCGUGCUCGAGGGAGGCAGAGGUAAGCGGAACUGAUGGUGGAGCGGUGAAAUGCGUUGAUAUCAUCAGGAACACCGGUGGCGAAAGCGGCUUACUGGGUCUCUCCUGACGCUGAGGCGCGAAAGCGUGGGGAGCAAACAGGAUUAGAAACCCUAGUAGUCC